Molecule: ribosomal RNA, 459 nt
Filed under: uncultured bacterium
Lineage: Bacteria
Description: partial 16S ribosomal RNA
Rfam family: Bacterial small subunit ribosomal RNA
Source: RNAcentral
CCUACGGGUGGCAGCAGUGAGGAAUAUUGGUCAAUGGGCGCGAGCCUGAACCAGCCAAGUCGCGUGAGGGAAGACGGUCCUAUGGAUUGUAAACCUCUUUUGUCGGGGAGCAAAAGACGCCACGCGUGGCGUUCCGCGAGUACCCGAAGAACAAGCAUCGGCUAACUCCGUGCCAGCAGCCGCGGUAAUACGGAGGAUGCGAGCGUUAUCCGGAUUGAUGGGGUGUAAAGGGUGCGCAGGCGGAAGAUCAAGUCAGCGGUAAAAUUGAGAGGCUCAACCUCUUCGAGCCGUUGAAACUGGUUUUCUUGAGUGAGUGAGAAGUAUGCGGAAUGCGUGGUGUAGCGGUGAAAUGCAUAGAUAUCACGCAGAACUCCGAUUGCGAAGGCAGCAUACCGGCGCUCAACUGACGCUCAUGCACGAAAGUGUGGGUAUCGAACAGGAUUAGAUACCCUGGUAGUC